AUACCCCCUUCCCCCGUGCAGAAUACCCCAAAUCGAACCAAACCCUAACCUGUGCCUGCCGCCGCCGCCGUCGCGCUCGAUCCAAUUCUCUGCUGCCAUCGCCGCCGGCCUCGCGCUCCACCCAGUCCUCAAUCCGCCGUCCCAGAGCUCGCACUCCCCUACCGCUAGCCUCGCGCUCCACCCCGUCCUCAAUCCGCCGUACUCAAUCCCCUGAGCUCCAGCCCAAGAUCGAGGCGCCGUCCUCGCGCUGCACAUCCAGCCGCCGUCAUCGCCAAUCCUCGUCCUGCGGCUGCCGGGGAUCCAUCACCGGGCUCCCUCUGCUGCCGUACCUGCUGCUGCGGGGCUCCAUAUCCGGGCUCCUGCUGCCGUCGGAGCUCCAUCUCCGGGCUGCCGCUGCUGACGGCGCUGCUGCUGUUCGACUUCUGCCCUGUGCUGCCAGGCUCCAUCUCCGGGCUCAUGAGAUUCGUCCCCGAGAUCUGUCCGUCCACCGCCCCCAACCCCAACCCCAUUCCACGUCCCCGACCCCAUCCCUUCCUCCCUUCCUUGGAGUCACAGCUUCCGACAACUCCGUCCACCAUCGCCUUGCACCUCGGGCUGGAGUGAGUGGGCGCUGCUAGGUCAAAAAUAUACCUGCUGCAUGGCCUAUGCCUUCAAUUCAGUGUACUAGCUGAAGCACAACAAUGCAUGGUCUAAGGCGAUCUCGUGCAGUAAGAUAAUGUGAUGAAUCAUUCAUUCAUAUAUGUGUUCAGAUGCUUCUUUCCAAACAAAUGAAAUGCGUUCAGAUGCAUGUCUUUGGUUCUUGUUUUUCAGUUUUUUUCUUGGGACAGAGAAGUAGUAUGUAUUGCACGUAUCUCCAGAUGAGAUAGAAGAUAGAUAUAUUUAUGUGUCAGAUACUACUGUCUGACUAUUUGUGGUAAUAAGUAUUGGUGUUAAGUAGAAUCUCCAUUUGUGUUACCAUCACAGGACCAUUAAACAGUCAGAUGUGAGCCAUAUAUUUGAUAUGAAGCAAGUUGUCUGAGGAUGUUCACUACCCACCUAAUUUGAGCUCUCUGUUUCCAUAUGCAGGUACCAAAACAACAAGGUUCGUGUCUGGUGUCUCGAUCACUAUCAGGCCAAGGGUGGUUGAUACAUGUCUUCACACUUUUCAUAGCAACGUGCAGUGGAAGAAGCAGCCUAUGAAAUGAAAUAGUUUGCAUAAGAAACAGGCGAUGUACUCAACCAUCUACUGCGCAUGGAUGUGAUGACUUCGGAGUGUUCAGCAGCAUUUGGCUGUUUGCGGUAUUUUGGACCAGCUAACUUGUGAUCAUAAAUCUUAUGUCUGUUCUGGACCAUUUGGUGCUUCCAUGUGUUUUCGGGCAUAUAUCUUGUGCUCAUGCGUGUGACUUUAUUCUGGACCAUUUAGUGUUUGAACUCCUUUAGAACAACAAAUAGUGGUCCUUUUAUGUGGCUUCUGUUUUCUGGAUGGUGGUCCAAAUGGCCAAACUUUGCUUUGUCAAGACUGUCCUGUUUUUGAACUUACGAUCAAUAUAUGCAUGUUUGUGAACAUAUUAUCAA
Triticum dicoccoides is the source of this 1554-nucleotide long non-coding RNA. RefSeq lists it as uncharacterized. The transcript has 5 exons. Lineage: Eukaryota; Viridiplantae; Streptophyta; Magnoliopsida; Poales; Poaceae. The record is from RefSeq and is a predicted model, not a curated record.